UAAUAAGUGUUUUAUGGCACUUUUUAAAUCCAUAUCCACCUUGUGUGCAACGUCAGUCGAUCUUCUUCAUGGAGAUCGACCAAACAUCAACCUUUAUUUUUUGACUCUUUGUCUGAAAAAUAUUAUGAAUAAACAAUUCAAAAUA
RNAcentral lists this unclassified non-coding RNA (145 nucleotides) under soil metagenome. RNAcentral describes it as "partial internal transcribed spacer 1". The record is from RNAcentral.